UACAGAGGGGGCAAGCGUUGUUCGGAAUUACUGGGCGUAAAGGGCUCGUAGGCGGCCAACUAAGUCCGACGUGAAAUCCCCAGGCUUAACCUGGGAACUGCGUCGGAUACUGGAUGGCUUGAAUUCGGGAGAGGGAUGCAGAAUUCCAGGUGUAGCGGUGAAAUGCGUAGAUAUCAGGAGGAACACCGGUGGCGAAGGCGGUUCUCUGGGCAUUACCUGACGCUGAGGAGCGAAAGCAUGGGGAGCGAACAGG
This 253-nucleotide ribosomal RNA is filed under the name uncultured bacterium. RNAcentral describes it as "partial 16S ribosomal RNA". It matches the Rfam family "Bacterial small subunit ribosomal RNA", at positions 524 to 776 of the family's 1533-position model. The record is from RNAcentral.